CCCUUAGACGUUCUGGGCCGCACGCGCGCUACACUGACCAGUGCAACAAGCAUCCGUCCUUGGCCGACAGGCCCGGGCAAUCUUUGAACGCUGGUCGUGAUGGGGAUAGACUUUUGCAAUUUUUGGUCUUCAACGAGGAAUUCCUAGUAAACGCAAGUCAUCAACUUGCAUUGAUUACGUCCCUGCCCUUUGUACACACCGCCCGUCGCACCUACCGAUUGAAUGGUCCGGUGAAGCCUCCGGAUUGGCGCGCACCCUCGGGUGCUGCCGAGAAGUUGGCUAAACCUUACCAUUUAGAGGAAGGUGAAGUCGUAACA
Molecule: ribosomal RNA, 317 nt
Filed under: uncultured eukaryote
Lineage: Eukaryota
Description: partial 18S ribosomal RNA
Rfam family: Eukaryotic small subunit ribosomal RNA
Source: RNAcentral